UAAUACGUAGGUGACAAGCGUUAUCCGGAUUUACUGGGCGUAAAGCGCACGCAGGCGGCUGAUUAAGUCUGACGUGAAAUCUCCUGGCUUAACUGGGAGGGGUCGUUGGAAACUGGUUGGCUUGAGGUGGUGAGAGGGGUGUGGAAUUCCCGGUGUAGUGGUGGAAUGCGUAGAUAUCGGGAGGAACACCAGUGGCGAAAGCGGCACCCUGGCACUGACCUGACGCUCAUGUGCGAAAGCGUGGGGAGCAAACGGG
Molecule: ribosomal RNA, 256 nt
Filed under: uncultured bacterium
Lineage: Bacteria
Also listed under: 1 other name
Description: partial 16S ribosomal RNA
Rfam family: Bacterial small subunit ribosomal RNA
Source: RNAcentral